RNAcentral lists this ribosomal RNA (433 nucleotides) under uncultured bacterium. RNAcentral describes it as "partial 16S ribosomal RNA". It matches the Rfam family "Bacterial small subunit ribosomal RNA", at positions 29 to 507 of the family's 1533-position model. The record is from RNAcentral.
AACGAACGCUGGCGGCAGGCUUAACACAUGCAAGUCGAGCGAGACCUUCGGGUCUAGCGGCGGACGGGUGAGUAACGCGUGGGAACGUGCCCUUCUCUACGGAAUAGCCCCGGGAAACUGGGAGUAAUACCGUAUACGCCCUUUGGGGGAAAGAUUUAUCGGAGAAGGGUCGGCCCGCGUUGGAUUAGGUAGUUGGUGGGGUAAUGGCCCACCAAGCCGACGAUCCAUAGCUGGUUUGAGAGGAUGAUCAGCCACACUGGGACUGAGACACGGCCCAGACUCCUACGGGAGGCAGCAGUGGGGAAUCUUAGACAAUGGGGGCAACCCUGAUCUAGCCAUGCCGCGUGAGUGAUGAAGGCCUUAGGGUUGUAAAGCUCUUUCAGCUGGGAAGAUAAUGACGGUACCAGCAGAAGAAGCCCCGGCUAACUCCGUG